GGUUAAGCGACUAAGCGUACACGGUGGAUGCCCUGGCAGUCAGAGGCGAUGAAGGACGUGCUAAUCUGCGAUAAGCGUCGGUAAGGUGAUAUGAACCGUUAUAACCGGCGAUUUCCGAAUGGGGAAACCCAGUGUGUU
RNAcentral lists this ribosomal RNA (138 nucleotides) under Pseudomonas aeruginosa. Its description in RNAcentral is "partial 23S ribosomal RNA". It matches the Rfam family "Bacterial large subunit ribosomal RNA", at positions 1 to 137 of the family's 2925-position model. The record is from RNAcentral. Lineage: Bacteria; Pseudomonadati; Pseudomonadota; Gammaproteobacteria; Pseudomonadales; Pseudomonadaceae. RNAcentral also lists the same sequence under 3 other names.